Equus quagga is the source of this 541-nucleotide long non-coding RNA. RefSeq lists it as uncharacterized. Lineage: Eukaryota; Metazoa; Chordata; Mammalia; Perissodactyla; Equidae. The transcript has 3 exons. The record is from RefSeq and is a predicted model, not a curated record.
ACCCACAUGCACACACCCCAAUAUUGUUAGUGCCACAAGCUGUGUGUUUCCGAGAAAGUUUUUGUGGUGCAUCUGAACACACCAGUAUAUACUUGAUCUACAUUUUGGCAUUUUUACAACCACAACCAAGAACUCUGUUUAAAGAAAAAGCCUAGAAAAUGUGGCUGAGGGAUAAAGAAAGAGAAGAACAGAUGACCUGACGGCCUAGAGUUAAACAACUUCCCACCCUUUAUAACCUUACAGAGAACGGAUGACUCUCCCCACUCUACGGAGGAGGAAACUGCCCCUUGAAGCGUCAAAUGUCUUCUCCAGGGUCCUUUAGCCAGCACCGGGCAGAGCGAGGAUUACAUCAUCUUCACAACAACUCUGUAGCAACAAACACUGUGUGGACCAACUCUGAAGCUGCCCUGAGUAACUCUAGGGUAGAGCAUCAUCCAAGUAGGUGGUCUGGAUACAGAGAUGUCAGUAAGGCUGCUCAUGUGAACCAGACCAAGAAUGGAAAAGACAGGGGGCUGGCCCCGUGGCCCAGUGGUUAAGUUCA